UCCCUGGGAGUCCAGCGGUGAGAUUCUGCACUUUUACUGCUGAGGGCCCAGGUUCAAUCCCUGGUUGGAGAA
This 72-nucleotide transfer RNA is filed under the name Bos taurus (domestic cattle). It matches the Rfam family "tRNA". Rfam says of the family: Transfer RNA (tRNA) molecules are approximately 80 nucleotides in length. Their secondary structure includes four short double-helical elements and three loops (D, anti-codon, and T loops). RNAcentral also lists the same sequence under 5 other names. Lineage: Eukaryota; Metazoa; Chordata; Mammalia; Artiodactyla; Bovidae. The record is from Rfam by way of RNAcentral.